UCUGAUAUCCUGAUGAGUGUACAUCUUCAUCUGAUCUCCCGAUGCUGCUACAUUAGUUUUUUGUUGUGGAUUUAGAUAUCUGGUGUCUCUAAUUAGGAGCUGUUGGAUAUCAUCCAAUAAUCUUGCACAGCGAGAUCGAAGCUAUUUAGUAAACUGAAACUGUCGCUGCAACAAUUCUUCUUGUGAUCGUUGCUCCUUGCCAAUUCAUCGAUCUGAGUUUAUCGACGUCGCCCAGAUCGACUCCAUUGCCUCUCACCAUCUCCAAAAUUUGUGGCCGAGCGCUCGC
Zea mays is the source of this 286-nucleotide long non-coding RNA. RefSeq lists it as uncharacterized. The transcript is spliced from 3 exons. Lineage: Eukaryota; Viridiplantae; Streptophyta; Magnoliopsida; Poales; Poaceae. The record is from RefSeq and is a predicted model, not a curated record.